RNAcentral lists this ribosomal RNA (453 nucleotides) under uncultured Thiobacillus sp. RNAcentral's name for it is "bacterial SSU rRNA". It matches the Rfam family "Bacterial small subunit ribosomal RNA", at positions 923 to 1382 of the family's 1533-position model. The record is from RNAcentral. Lineage: Bacteria; Pseudomonadati; Pseudomonadota; Betaproteobacteria; Nitrosomonadales; Thiobacillaceae.
GCACAAGCGGUGGAUGAUGUGGAUUAAUUCGAUGCAACGCGAAAACCUUACCUACCCUUGACAUGUCCGGAAUCCUGCAGAGAUGCGGGAGUGCCGAAAGGGAAUCGGAACACAGGUGCUGCAUGGCUGUCGUCAGCUCGUGUCGUGAGAUGUUGGGUUAAGUCCCGCAACGAGCGCAACCCUUAUCAUUAGUUGCUACGCAAGGGCACUCUAAUGAGACUGCCGGUGACAAACCGGAGGAAGGUGGGGAUGACGUCAAGUCCUCAUGGCCCUUAUGGGUAGGGCUUCACACGUCAUACAAUGGUCGGUACAGAGGGUUGCCAAGCCGCGAGGUGGAGCCAAUCCCAGAAAGCCGAUCGUAGUCCGGAUUGUUCUCUGCAACUCGAGAGCAUGAAGUCGGAAUCGCUAGUAAUCGCGGAUCAGCAUGUCGCGGUGAAUACGUUCCCGGGUCUU